RNAcentral lists this ribosomal RNA (492 nucleotides) under uncultured bacterium. Its description in RNAcentral is "partial 16S ribosomal RNA". It matches the Rfam family "Bacterial small subunit ribosomal RNA", at positions 29 to 507 of the family's 1533-position model. The record is from RNAcentral.
AGUGAACGCUGGCGGUAGGCCUAACACAUGCAAGUCGAACGGCAGCACAGUAAGAGCUUGCUCUUACGGGUGGCGAGUGGCGGACGGGUGAGGAAUACAUCGGAAUCUACUUUUUCGUGGGGGAUAACGUAGGGAAACUUACGCUAAUACCGCAUACGACCUACGGGUGAAAGCAGGGGAUCUUCGGACCUUGCGGGAUGGAAUGAGCCGAUGUCGGAUUAGCUGGUUGGCGGGGUAAAGGCCCACAAAGGCGAGGAUCCGUAGCUGGUCCGGGAGGAUUAAUCGCCCCACUGGAACUUAGGCACCGUCCCGACUCCUACGGGAGGCAGCAAGUGGGGAUUUUUGGACAUUGGCGGAAGCCUUGUCCAAGCCAUCCGGCGUGGGUGAAGAGGCCUUCCGGUUUGUAAACCCCUUUUUUUGGAAAGAAAAGCAGCCGGUUUAUUCCCCGCUUGUCUGGCCGGUCCCAAAAGAUAAGCACCGGCUAACUUCGUG